This 257-nucleotide ribosomal RNA is filed under the name uncultured bacterium. RNAcentral describes it as "partial 16S ribosomal RNA". It matches the Rfam family "Bacterial small subunit ribosomal RNA", at positions 29 to 267 of the family's 1533-position model. The record is from RNAcentral.
AGUGAACGCUGGCGGCAGGCCUAACACAUGCAAGUCGAACGGCAGCACAGGGGUAGCAAUACCCUGGGUGGCGAGUGGCGGACGGGUGAGGAAUACGUCGGAAUCUGCCUGGUUGUGGGGGAUAACGUAGGGAAACUUACGCUAAUACCGCAUGAGACCCUGAGUCGACGGACUGGGGGUGAAAGUGAGGGACCUUCGGGCCUCACGCGACCAGAUGAGCCGAUGUCGGAUUAGCUAGUUGGCGGGGUAACGGCCCG